This 96-nucleotide small nucleolar RNA is filed under the name Dasypus novemcinctus (nine-banded armadillo). Its description in RNAcentral is "Small nucleolar RNA SNORA31 (ENSDNOG00000038162.1)". The record is from RNAcentral. Lineage: Eukaryota; Metazoa; Chordata; Mammalia; Cingulata; Dasypodidae.
CUGCUGCUAAGGUUUCCACUAUAGUUGCAAAAUAAAGAACUUCCUCCUGCUUUCUGUCUGGUUGUGGCAGCUAAGAUUGAAUAAGAUAAUACAGGA